ACAGCCCAGACCACCAGCUAAGGUCCCAAAAUAUAUGUUAAGUGGAAAAGGAUGUGGCGUUGCCCAGACAACUAGGAUGUUGGCUUAGAAGCAGCUAUCAUUUAAAGAGUGCGUAAUAGCUCACUAGUCGAGUGACACUGCGCCGAAAAUGUACCGGGGCUAAACAUAUUACCGAAGCUGUGGAUUGUCCUUUGGACAAUGGUAGGAGAGCGUUCUAAGGGCGUUGAAGCAUGAUCGUAAGGACAUGUGGAGCGCUUAGAAGUGAGAAUGCCGGUGUGAGUAGCGAAAGACGGGUGAGAAUCCCGUCCACCGAUUGACUAAGGUUUCCAGAGGAAGGCUCGUCCGCUCUGGGUUAGUCGGGUCCUAAGCUGAGGCCGACAGGCGUAGGCGAUGGAUAACAGGUUGAUAUUCCUGUACCACCUAUAAUCGUUUUAAUCGAUGGGGGGACGCAGUAGGAUAGGCGAAGCGUGCGAUUGGAUUGCACGUCUAAGCAGUAAGGCUGAGUAUUAGGCAAAUCCGGUACUCGUUAAGGCUGAGCUGUGAUGGGGAGAAGACAUUGUGUCUUCGAGUCGUUGAUUUCACACUGCCGAGAAAAGCCUCUAGAUAGAAAAUAGGUGCCCGUACCGCAAACCGACACAGGUAGUCAAGAUGAGAAUUCUAAGGUGAGCGAGCGAACUCUCGUUAAGGAACUCGGCAAAAUGACCCCGUAACUUCGGGAGAAGGGGUGCUCUUUAGGGUUAACGCCCAGAAGAGCCGCAGUGAAUAGGCCCAAGCGACUGUUUAUCAAAAACACAGGUCUCUGCUAAACCGUAAGGUGAUGUAUAGGGGCUGACGCCUGCCCGGUGCUGGAAGGUUAAGAGGAGUGGUUAGCUUCUGCGAAGCUACGAAUCGAAGCCCCAGUAAACGGCGGCCGUAACUAUAACGGUCCUAAGGUAGCGAAAUUCCUUGUCGGGUAAGUUCCGACCCGCACGAAAGGCGUAACGAUUUGGGCACUGUCUCAACGAGAGACUCGGUGAAAUCAUAGUACCUGUGAAGAUGCAGGUUACCCGCGACAGGACGGAAAGACCCCGUGGAGCUUUACUGUAGCCUGAUAUUGAAAUUCGGCACAGCUUGUACAGGAUAGGUAGGAGCCUUUGAAACGUGAGCGCUAGCUUACGUGGAGGCGCUGGUGGGAUACUACCCUAGCUGUGUUGGCUUUCUAACCCGCACCACUUAUCGUGGUGGGAGACAGUGUCAGGCGGGCAGUUUGACUGGGGCGGUCGCCUCCUAAAAGGUAACGGAGGCGCUCAAAGGUUCCCUCAGAAUGGUUGGAAAUCAUUCAUAGAGUGUAAAGGCAUAAGGGAGCUUGACUGCGAGACCUACAAGUCGAGCAGGGUCGAAAGACGGACUUAGUGAUCCGGUGGUUCCGCAUGGAAGGGCCAUCGCUCAACGGAUAAAAGCUACCCCGGGGAUAACAGGCUUAUCUCCCCCAAGAGUUCACAUCGACGGGGAGGUUUGGCACCUCGAUGUCGGCUCAUCGCAUCCUGGGGCUGUAGUCGGUCCCAAGGGUUGGGCUGUUCGCCCAUUAAAGCGGUACGCGAGCUGGGUUCAGAACGUCGUGAGACAGUUCGGUCCCUAUCCGUCGUGGGCGUAGGAAAUUUGAGAGGAGCUGUCCUUAGUACGAGAGGACCGGGAUGGACAUACCUCUGGUGUACCAGUUGUCGUGCCAACGGCAUAGCUGGGUAGCUAUGUGUGGACGGGAUAAGUGCUGAAAGCAUCUAAGCAUGAAGCCCCCCUCAAGAUGAGAUUUCCCAACUUCGGUUAUAAGAUCCCUCAAAGAUGAUGAGGUUAAUAGGUUCGAGGUGGAAGCAUGGUGACAUGUGGAGCUGACGAAUACUAAUCGAUCGAAGACUUAAUCAA
Molecule: ribosomal RNA, 1899 nt
Filed under: Staphylococcus aureus M0141
Lineage: Bacteria; Bacillati; Bacillota; Bacilli; Caryophanales; Staphylococcaceae
Description: bacterial LSU rRNA
Rfam family: Bacterial large subunit ribosomal RNA
Source: RNAcentral